ACGCUGGCGGCAGGCCUAACACAUGCAAGUCGAACGGUAACAGGAAGCAGCUUGCUGCUUCGCUGACGAGUGGCGGACGGGUGAGUAAUGUCUGGGAAACUGCCUGAUGGAGGGGGAUAACUACUGGAAACGGUGGCUAAUACCGCAUAACGUCGCAAGACCAAAGAGGGGGACCUUCGGGCCUCUUGCCAUCAGAUGUGCCCAGAUGGGAUUAGCUUGUUGGUGAGGUAACGGCUCACCAAGGCGACGAUCCCUAGCUGGUCUGAGAGGAUGACCAGCCACACUGGAACUGAGACACGGUCCAGACUCCUACGGGAGGCAGCAGUGGGGAAUAUUGCACAAUGGGCGCAAGCCUGAUGCAGCCAUGCCGCGUGUAUGAAGAAGGCCUUCGGGUUGUAAAGUACUU
RNAcentral lists this ribosomal RNA (406 nucleotides) under Salmonella enterica subsp. enterica. RNAcentral's name for it is "bacterial SSU rRNA". It matches the Rfam family "Bacterial small subunit ribosomal RNA", at positions 33 to 435 of the family's 1533-position model. RNAcentral also lists the same sequence under 2 other names. The record is from RNAcentral. Lineage: Bacteria; Pseudomonadati; Pseudomonadota; Gammaproteobacteria; Enterobacterales; Enterobacteriaceae.